Molecule: ribosomal RNA, 492 nt
Filed under: uncultured bacterium
Lineage: Bacteria
Description: partial 16S ribosomal RNA
Rfam family: Bacterial small subunit ribosomal RNA
Source: RNAcentral
AGUGAACGCUGGCGGUAGGCCUAACACAUGCAAGUCGAACGGCAGCACAGUAAGAGCUUGCUCUUACGGGUGGCGAGUGGCGGACGGGUGAGGAAUACAUCGGAAUCUACUUUUUCGUGGGGGAUAAAGUAGGGAAACUUACGCUAAUACCGCAUACGACCUAAGGGUGAAAGCAGGGGAUCUUCGGACCUUGCGCGAUUGAAUGAGCCGAUGUCGGAUUAGCUAGUUGGAGGGGUAAAGGCCCACCAAGGCGACGAUCCGUAGCUGGUCUGAGAGGAUGAUCAGCCACACUGGAACUGAGACACGGUCCAGACUCCUACGGGAGGCAGCAGUGGGGAAUAUUGGACAAUGGGCGCAAGCCUGAUCCAGCCAUACCGCGUGGGUGAAGAAGGCCUUCGGGUUGUAAAGCCCUUUUGUUGGGAAAGAAAAGCAGCAGGUUAAUACCCCGCUGUUCUGACGGUACCCAAAGAAUAAGCACCGGCUAACUUCGUG